This 546-nucleotide ribosomal RNA is filed under the name uncultured bacterium. RNAcentral describes it as "partial 16S ribosomal RNA". It matches the Rfam family "Bacterial small subunit ribosomal RNA", at positions 355 to 912 of the family's 1533-position model. The record is from RNAcentral.
UGGGGAAUAUUGCACAAUGGGCGAAAGCCUGAUGCAGCGACGCCGCGUGAGGGAUGACGGCCUUCGGGUUGUAAACCUCUUUCAGCAGGGAAGAAGCGAAAGUGACGGUACCUGCAGAAGAAGCGCCGGCUAACUACGUGCCAGCAGCCGCGGUAAUACGUAGGGCGCAAGCGUUGUCCGGAAUUAUUGGGCGUAAAGAGCUCGUAGGCGGUUAGUCGCGUCUGCUGUGAAAACUCGAGGCUCAACCUCGGGCUUGCAGUGGGUACGGGCUGACUAGGGUGCGGUAGGGGUGACUGGAAUUCCUGGUGUAGCGGUGGAAUGCGCAGAUAUCAGGAGGAACACCGAUGGCGAAGGCAGGUCACUGGGCCGCAACUGACGCUGAGGAGCGAAAGCAUGGGGAGCGAACAGGAUUAGAUACCCUGGUAGUCCAUGCCGUAAACGUUGGGCACUAGGUGUGGGUCCAUUCCACGGAUUCCGUGCCGCAGCAAACGCAUUAAGUGCCCCGCCUGGGGAGUACGGCCGCAAGGCUAAAACUUAAAGGAAUUG